RNAcentral lists this transfer RNA (92 nucleotides) under Yarrowia lipolytica. Its description in RNAcentral is "tRNA-Tyr". It matches the Rfam family "tRNA". From Rfam's summary of the family: Transfer RNA (tRNA) molecules are approximately 80 nucleotides in length. Their secondary structure includes four short double-helical elements and three loops (D, anti-codon, and T loops). The record is from RNAcentral. Lineage: Eukaryota; Fungi; Ascomycota; Dipodascomycetes; Dipodascales.
CCCCGGUGGGCCAAGCUGGUUUAAGGCGCGAGACUGUAAUGGUAUCAUAUUGUAAUCUUGAGAUCGGGCGUUCGACUCGCCCCCCCGGGAGA